UCAAGCUACUAAGGGCACAUAACGGAUGCCUUGGCUCUGACAGGCGAUGAAGGACGCGGCAAGCUGCGAAAAGCUUCGGGGAGUGGCAUACACACUAUGAUCCGGAGAUAUCCGAAUGGGGAAACCCUAUGGAAGUAAUGUUCCAUAAUCCUCUGCUGAAUAAAAUAGGCAGCUGGAAGCGAUACCCUGGGAAGUGAAACAUCUCAGUACCAGGAGGAGUAGAAAUCAAUUGAGAUACCGCAAGUAGUGGCGAGCGAACGCGGUACAGCCUAAACCGGAGUGUUUACAUUCCGGGGUUGCGGGACUCUAAUAUGGCAUGCAGACGGUUAACAGAACGCUUUGGAAUGAGCGGCGAGACAGGGUGAAAGCCCCGUAAGUGAAAGCCCAAUGCAGCCUAAGAGUAUCCCAAGUAGGGCGUCACACGUGAAACGACGUCUGAAUCAGGGGGGCCCACCCUCCAAGGCUAAAUACUAGUCAGAGACCGACAGCGCAUAGUACCGUGAGGGAAUGGUGAAAUAGAACCCCGGGAGGGGAGUGAAAAGAACCUGAAAUUAUGUGUCUAUAAAGUGUGGGAGCGCAAGCGACCGCAUGCCUUUUGCAUAAUGAGUCUGCGAGUUACUCCUGUAUAGCGAGGUUAAGUUAAGAACGAAGCCGAAGCGAAAGCGAGUGUUAAUAGCGCGUAUAGUUAUACGGGGUAGACCCGAAGCUGGGUGAUCUAACCAUGGCCAGGCUGAAUCUUCCGUAACAGGAAGUGGAGGGCCGAACCAGUUCAUGUUGAAAAAUGUUUGGAUGAGCUGUGGUUAGGGGUGAAAGGCCAAUCAAACCCAGUGAUAGCUGGUUCUUUCCGAAAUAGCUUUAGGGCUAGCCUUAUGUAAUAGUUAACGGGGGUAGAUCACUGAUUGUUCGCGGGCCCUUACCAGGGUACCAACAACUAUCAAAAUGCGAAUACCGUUGACAGUAUCAUAGGAGUCAGACUGUGGGGGCUAAGCUUCAUAGUCGAGAGGGAAACAGCCCAGACCGCCGUCUAAGGUCCCUAAUUUACACUAAGUGGCAUGAAGGAGGUAGAGUUGCAUAAACAGCCGGGAUGUUGGCUUAGAGGCAGCCAUCAUUUAAAGAGUGCGUAAUAGCUCACCGGUCGAGUGAUUCUGCGCCGAAGAUGAUCGGGACUAAGUGUAAAACCGAAGAUGCGGGUAAAACAAUGCAUAUUGCACUGUUUUACGGUAGGAAAGCGUUGUGUAUGGGGUGAAGUCGAAGCGUAAGCGACGGUGGACCGUACACAAGUGACCAUGCAGACAUGAGUAGCGAAAAACCAGGUGGAAAUCCUGGUCACCGAAAGCCUAAGGAUUCCGGGGGAAGGUUCGUCCGCCCCGGGUUAGUCGGCCCCUAAGGCGAGGCCGAAAGGCGUAGUCGAUGGACAAACGGUUAAUAUUCCGUUACCACCUCAUUUAAGUGAUGGAGGGACGCAGGGAGCUAAGUCAGGUGUCGAAUGAAAGUGACACUCUAAGGCAGUAGGAAGUGAUAUAGGCAAAUCCGUAUCACAUAUAUUCCGAGAGCUGGGGAAGCUGAGUCUACGGACAAAGCUAAUUGACUGAUGCUGCACUGACAAGAAAAUCUUCUAAACGUUAUAAAAAAUGAGGUGACCGUACCGCAAACCGACACAGGUAGGCGAGGCGAGAAGCCUAAGGUGCGCGAGAGAAACCACGUUAAGGAACUCGGCAAAUUAACCCCGUAACUUCGGGAUAAGGGGUGCCUUUGAAGGUGAAGAGACUUGCUCUCGGAGCUUUUAGAGGUUUCAACAAAGAGGCCCAGGCGACUGUUUAGCAAAAACACAGCACUCUGCGAACUUGUUAAGAGGAUGUAUAGGGUGUGACACGUGACCAAUGCCGAAAGGUCAAACGGAGAGGUUAGUCAGCAAUGACGAAGCUUUGAAGUGAAGCCCCGGUGAAUGUCGGCCGUAACUAUAACGGUCCUAAGGUAGCGAAAUUCCUUGUCGGGUAAGUUCCGACCCGCACGAAUCGUGUAACGAUCUGGGCACUGUCUCAACGUGGAUCUCGGCGAAGUUGUAAUUCCGGUGAAAAUGCCGGAUACCUGCAGUAGGACGGAAAGACCCCGUGAACCUUUACUGUAAUCUGAUAUUGGUAUUUGGGUACAGAUGUGUAGAAUAGGUGGGAGACGUUGAAACAGGCGCGUCAGCGCAUGUGGAGUCAUAAGUGAAAUACCACCCUUGUGUAGUCGGAUAUCUAACCUUGUCCCGUGAAACCGGGAAAGGAACAGUGUCAGAGGGUCAGUUUGACUGGGGCGGUUUCCUCCUAAAGAGUAACGGAGGAGCUCGAAGGUACACUCAGCAUGGUUGGCAAUCAUGCGUAGAGCGUAAGGGUAGAAGUGUGCUUUACUGUAAGACAGACAUGUCGAGCAGUUGCGAAAGCAGGACCUAGUGAUCCAGCGGUGGAAUGUGGAAUCGCCGUUGCUCAUCGGACAAAAGGUACUCCGGGGAUAACAGGCUGAUAGCGCCCAAGCGUCCAUAGCGACGGCGCUGUUUGGCACCUCGAUGUCGGCUCAUCACAUCCUGGGGCUGAAGAAGGUCCCAAGGGUUCGGCUGUUCGCCGAUCAAUAGCGGUACGUGAGCUGGGUUCAGACCGGCGUGAGCCAGGUCGGUCUCUAUCUGAUGCGGGCGUAGGAAAAUUGAGGGGACCUGCCCUUAGUACGAGAGGAUCAGGGUGGACGGACCUCUGGUGUGCCAGCUAUCCCGCUCGGGGUAAUCGCUGGGUAGCUAGGUCCGGACGGGAUAACCGCUGAAAGCAUCUAAGCGGGAAGCCCACCCCAAGAUGAGUUUUCCCUGAAGCCCCCCCGAAGACUACGGGGUUGAUAGGCCGGAGGUGUACGGUCCGCGAGGGCCUCAGCUUACCGGUACUAAUCGGUCGUCCGGCUUGGCCUU
Molecule: ribosomal RNA, 2935 nt
Filed under: groundwater metagenome
Description: bacterial LSU rRNA
Rfam family: Bacterial large subunit ribosomal RNA
Source: RNAcentral